CCCUGCCUCUAAUCCUCUGAAUCCCCUUUCUCUAGGCUGGGCUGGUUUCUUGUGUGGAUGCCAUGUACACCAUCGUGUGGGGUCAGAGCCCUCUGAGAGGAGCCCAGCCUUCCUCCCUCCUCAUUCCCCUGUCUUCAUUCCAGAGAGAAGGGGUUGGGGGAAUUUCUGAAUAACCGCCCCCAGCUCCUCAAGAGGGCCCUAGUUUCCACACUAUUCUCUAGGUCCUUGUCCACUUCUGGACUCUUCCCUGUGACUCAGGGCCUAGACUCUCUGGGAAUGGAGAGGGAGAGGAAUGUGGCACAAGGGAGCUGACUUGGGGGCUAUUUCUGACUCUGGAGUCAUCAGCUGCUCAGUCACAGACGAGGGUGGCAGUGAGGUAGGGGUAUCACAUUUGCCUCCUCUUUGCUCCCUGGAAGAGCCUGAGGGACCUGGUGGGCUUCAGAGAUGCGGGCACUUGGACCGGUAUGGAGGGAAGUUGGGGAACACCCACAGCUCAUACGGAAGAGGCUUCCUGGGUACCAGGGAUCAAACUCAGGACCUUGUGCUUUCGAGGCAGGCAUCGUCGGCACCACUGAGCUAAAUCCCUGGCCCCUGUUUAUUUAUUUUUUUGAAACAGAGUCUCACUAUGUGGUUCAGCCUGGCCUUGAACUCAUUGUGUAGCCCAGGCUGGCCUCGAAUUCACAGCAGAGGCUAUUUAAAUAAUACCGAAGUAAAAUGAAAUAGUCUGUUCCUCUGUUAUACUACCACAUUUUAGGUGUUCUGUAGAGAUGUGUGGCUAGAAACUACUAUAUUGGACAGUUCAGAUUUCCAUCACUGCAGAAGUUUCUGCAGGAUAAUGCUAUUAUAGACACUAAAACUUUUAUGUACAGUGCUUCUCUUUUUGUCUUUGCUAACAGAAAGCUCCAAGCCAAAUCUCUAGGUUUCCAGCAAAAGACUUUACGGCUUGCAUCCUAUGGAAUGAGAAUGACUAAAUCAUCUCAGCUGUCUCAGAAGAGUUCCCCAGAACAAGGGACUUUCAGUUUUGUUUUGUUUUGUUUGGUACUGGGAAUUGAACUCAGGGCCUCGAAUUUGCCAGGCAGGUGCUGCACUACUGAGCUAUAUCCUGGGCUCAGACUUUCAGGG
Molecule: long non-coding RNA, 1122 nt
Filed under: Heterocephalus glaber (naked mole-rat)
Lineage: Eukaryota; Metazoa; Chordata; Mammalia; Rodentia; Bathyergidae
Description: lncRNA (ENSHGLG00100042217.1)
Source: RNAcentral